UACGUAGGUGGCGAGCGUUGUCCGGAAUUACUGGGUGUAAAGGGCGUGUAGGCGGGGGAGCAAGUCAGAUGUGAAAUCCCGGGGCUCAACUCCGGAGUUGCAUCUGAAACUGUUUUUCUUGAGUGCUGGAGAGGAAAGCGGAAUUCCUAGUGUAGCGGUGAAAUGCGUAGAUAUUAGGAGGAACACCAGUGGCGAAGGCGGCUUUCUGGACAGUAACUGACGCUGAGGCGCGAAAGCGUGGGGAGCAAACAGGAUUAGAUACCCUGGUAGUCCACGCCGUAAACGAUGGAUACUAGGUGUAGGAGGUAUCGACCCCUUCUGUGCCGGAGUUAACACAAUAAGUAUCCCACCUGGGGAGUACGGCCGCAAGGCUGAAACUCAAAGGAAUUGACGGGGGCCCGCACAAGCAGUGGAGUAUGUGGUUUAAUUCGAAGCAACGCGAAGAACCUUACCAGGGCUUGACAUCCCUUGACAGUCCUAGAGAUAGGAUAUCCCUUCGGGGCAAGGAGACAGGUGGUGCAUGGUU
This 526-nucleotide ribosomal RNA is filed under the name uncultured bacterium. RNAcentral's name for it is "bacterial SSU rRNA". It matches the Rfam family "Bacterial small subunit ribosomal RNA", at positions 524 to 1050 of the family's 1533-position model. The record is from RNAcentral.